GACGAACGCUGGCGGCGUGCUUAACACAUGCAAGUCGAACGGAAAGGCCCUGCUUUUGUGGGGUGCUCGAGUGGCGAACGGGUGAGUAACAUGUGAGUAACCUGCCCUUGACUUUGGGAUAACUUCAGGAAACUGGGGCUAAUACCGGAUAGGAGCUCCUGCUGCAUGGUGUGGGUUGGAAAGUUUCGGCGGUUGGGGAUGGACUCGCGGCUUAUCAGCUUGCUGGUGGGGUAGUGGCUUACCAAGGCUUUGACGGGUAGCCGGCCUGAGAGGGUGACCGGCCCCAUUGGGACUCAGAUACGGCCCAGACUCCUACGGGAGGCAGCGGUGGAGAACAUUGCACAAUGGGCGCACGCCUGAUGCAGCAACGCCGCGUGCGGGAUGACGGCCUUCGGGUUUUAAACCGCUUUCGCCUGUGACGAAGCGUGAUUGGCGGUACUGGGUAAAGAAGCACCGGCUAACUACGUG
This 468-nucleotide ribosomal RNA is filed under the name uncultured bacterium. RNAcentral's name for it is "partial 16S ribosomal RNA". It matches the Rfam family "Bacterial small subunit ribosomal RNA", at positions 28 to 507 of the family's 1533-position model. The record is from RNAcentral.